UUAAGCCGUUAAAUAAAUUCAAGAAAUUGGGAGAAGGAAACAAAAGAAAAAAGAAUGGCUGCAGCAUCAUCACUCUCUAUCUUCUUGACACUGCGAAAACCAAACGCCAUUAAAAUCUCAAAGACCAGACCUUUCUUAACAUGUAAAGCCCAAGAGUCUUCUUCUUCUUCAGUUUCAUUUCCCUCGAAAAUUUCGAGCAAGAAAAAGCCAUUUCUUGAAGUGGGCUUUGGCUUGUUAGCUGCUUCAUUGUUGAUAUUGAGUCCAUUAGAAAAUGCAAAUGCAACAAGACUCAAUUACUAUGCCACUGUUGAAGAACCUUCUUGUGACCUUAAAUUUGUUCCUUCUGGCCUUGGCUACUGUGAUCUUGUGGUUGGCUCUGGCCUUGAAGCUCCUUAUAAUCAGCUUAUCAAUGUUCACUACACUGGAAGGUUUGCUGAUGGAACAGUUUUUGACAGUAGCUAUAAAUUUGCUAGGCCUCUCACCAUGCGCAUUGGCGUGGGCAAGGUGAUCAAAGGUUUGGAUCAAGGAAUACUUGGAGGUGAAGGGGUACCCCCAAUGUUUGUUGGUGGAAAGCGUAAGCUUCAUAUACCUCCAGAAUUGGCAUAUGGACCAGAACCUGCUGGAUGCUUUUCAGGUGACUGCAAUGUACCAGCAAAUGCCACUCUGGUAUAUAAUGUCAACUUUGUGGGAAUCUAUAGUGGAAAUAGGAAGUGAAAGAUCUUCGGUGUGCAUAUAUGUAUGAUAACAGAAAAUCUCGUAACAACCUUGAAAGAAUGAUAUUACACAGGUCUUCUUAAGAGAGUUUCAAGUGUAGUAUAUUUCUGCAUCCUCUCUCAACAAUGUCCUAAAUUCUGGAGUAUAUUAGUUGUCUCUGUCCUUUGCACGUUUAGAAGAAUGGAUAUCUGCAUAACACUCACCGAGAAGGUGAUGGAUAUUUAACCAUUUAAAUAUAUCAGUCCCAUGAUAUCUCAUUGCCUUAUAAACCAUAUAAUCAAUGAUAAUAUAAAGGAAUGCUACUGUUACAGAAGACAUUAUAUGAUCUGGGAUUGGUCUAAUCUAAAGGAUACCGAGGAAUUAGGUCUCCUUCCUUUUCUUUAUUGAACAAUUCACCAUAUGUUUCUCUGUACUUGUGUUAUUUCGUUGUUGUUGAACUUUGUAAGAUCUGUAUUAGUUCUAAAUAUUUGUCAAACUAGACUAGUAGGAGCUCAUGAAUAUCAUUUUGCAAGGCAAUUAUAGGAUUUUAAAGCAUUGA
Daucus carota subsp. sativus is the source of this 1252-nucleotide RNA transcript. It is a transcript of the gene named photosynthetic NDH subunit of lumenal location 4, chloroplastic, with no coding region annotated. The transcript has 6 exons. NCBI's taxonomy places the organism in Eukaryota, Viridiplantae, Streptophyta, Magnoliopsida, Apiales, Apiaceae. The record is from RefSeq and is a predicted model, not a curated record.